Molecule: long non-coding RNA, 2823 nt
Organism: Nematostella vectensis (starlet sea anemone)
Lineage: Eukaryota; Metazoa; Cnidaria; Anthozoa; Actiniaria; Edwardsiidae
Exons: 2
Source: RefSeq, a predicted model, not a curated record
AAAGCACUUCCCAACAUUGUUUACUGUAAUAGAGCCAACUUUACUGGGACGACGUCUCGUCGCCUGCUGGCGCUGUUUGGAGCUUUCUUUAAGUGGAGAAGUUCACCUGAUCGAGGUCGAUUACCCUAAAUUUGAAUGGAUUGAAUUCACAGUGAUUCAAGAGGAUUUGGCAUUUAUUUGCAUUGAUUCAAAAGCAACAUUAUGUGACUUACCAUCUUUUUCGCGGUUUCUGGAUCUCUGCUUGUAUCGCUCUCGGUCUGCUUCAAUGGAUGACAACUCGAGGUGCUGGCUACUUAGGAUCUCGAAUAACUUGAGCGCCUCUUCAAAACAGAAUUCUCGCUUAAAGCCAAGAACAAGCCACCUAUAUAAAACAACAACAGCCAAGUAGGACUAAAAAAGAACUGGUCAUUCUAAAACACAGCAUUGAAUCCCUACAAAGGAAACCGAACUGUAACCUGUAAUAUACAAUGUCAAGAAGAUCUCCCAGGAUCUCUAGAUCUCCCAUGUCAUUUGAUGUCCCUUACCUAUGUGCAAAGAGUAGAUCUUCCAUGCCGUUAAGGUACCUUACCUGUGUUACAAAGAGAAUAUCUCCCAUGUCAUUCGAGAUCCUUGCCUAUGUACAAGAGUAGAUCUUCCAUUCCAUUACAACCAAAUUCGUUGUUGCGCGACCUCGGCGAAUCCAAAAUCCAUGUCUCGUUUGGAAAUAGCGCGUAAUCAGACACAAGCUUUGGGGGCGGUUUGUCUGGUUUGGAUUGUUUGGUUUGAUUGAGUACGCGCUAUUCCCAAACGAAGAAAGGAAUUUUGGAUUCUGGCAGGUCGCGCAACAACGAAUUUGGCUAUAAGGUAACUUACCUAUGUGCAAAGAAUAUAUCUUCCAUGUCACUAAAGGUACCUUACCUAUGUACAAAGAGUAGAUCUUCCAUGCCAUCAAGGUACCUUACCUGAGUACAAAAAGAAUAUCUUCCAUUCAUUCGAGAAACUGUACCUUACCUAUGUACAAAGAGUAGAUCUUCCAUGCCAUCAAGGUACCUUACCUGAGUACAAAAAGAAUAUAUUCCAUUCAUUCGAGAAACUGUACCUUACCUAUGUGCAAAGAGAAGAUCUCCCAUGUCAUUCAAAGAACUUUACCUGUGUACAAGAAUAUAUCUUCCAUGCCAUUAAGGUACCUUACCUGUGUACAAAGAGUAGAUCUUCCAUGUCAUUUGAGAUAUUGUACCUUACCUAUGUGCAAAGAGAGAGAAUAAUCUCUAAGGUCAUUCGAGAUGCCUUAUGUACAAAAGAAGACCUCUUAUGUCAUUCAAAUGUGCAAAGAAACAUCUCUCGUGUCAGUAAAAAUGCCUUACCUAUGUACAAAGAGAAGAUCUCCCAUGUCAUUUGAGGUAAAAUGCUGUUCCAGCUGCCUAUCCAUCUGCUUUAACAAUUUACCAACAAGUUCUAAAGAAAAAACAGAGCAGUUUAAGGCUUGUUACAAACAAUAUCAAAGUCAUAAUAAAGAGCAAAAUAGUCCAACAGAUCCCCCUCCACACAUAUCUCCAAUAUGUAAACUGUAAACUAUAAUAAAUGUAUGAGAAGAAAAACAUUCCUGAAAAACAAAACAGCUAAAGGAAGGGCAAGGCUUGCACUAGGCAAUGCUUCAAGGCCUUUUUAAAGAAAGCUCUAAGCUCCAAGACUAAAUUCCUUUACCUAUCUUGUUCAUCAUGGUGGAAUCGAGAAAAUCCCCUUUGACAUGCUCCAUGUAGUUAGCAAAGCAGGAAUAAGCUUCAUCUUCAGCCACCAGCACGACAAGAAACCGACUAAGGAUGUCAUUCAUACCCUGAGCAUAUCCAACAUCUGUGCAACAGUAAUAAACAUUGAGUAGAACAUCCUGCAAAUAUACUGUAGCCAACAUCGAUAUGACAACAACACUUUAAUUAGCAUAAUAGGGGUAGCAAUGGGUGAAUCCGAGACUUACCAAGGCGCAGAGACAGAUGUUUCAGAGACCGAGACCGAGACUUUUGUCAAAUUUCGGAAUCUGAGCUUUUCUGGUCUCUUAACGACAGAGCCUGAUCUUGUUUUUUUUUCUAUAUUGUUUUCGGAUAACUUGCUUAAGGUAUGUCAUAAACAUAAGUUUUUUCAAAAGAAGUUACAGGAGUUACAAAGAGUUACAAUACAUUCUUGCUACACUAAGAAUAAGAAGGGGAAACCUGUAGCAUGGUAAAAAACCUAAAACAGAUUGCGUUUAACAAAAAUUCAAGACCCUGAGAUCGCAUUUAAAAAACCCAGACUCCACGACCGUGGUGAAAAAGUAUGGCCCCUAUUAGACCCCUAAAAUUUAGGAAAAAACAAGACUUUGAGACUUGAGUAAAAAAUGCUGAGGUUACGAGACUUUGCGAAAUUUUUGCAAGACCUUCAAAAUUUUGAGGUACCCAUUGCUAUCCCUCAUAAUCAACCUCUGGAUGAAGUACUGAAAAUUUAGAAAAAGAACACAGGGUUGGUACACUACACACCAUGCAACAAGGCGAGAAAACACCAACAGCAUUACAGAGCCAGGAACCUUGGCUAUUUUCUGGCACUAUUUGCAUGGGGCUCAGAACUGUAUCAUUCCCCUUCCUACACUGCUUUUUGUACUGAUGCAUGCAGACCUGCCUCUACAUACCUUGAUGAUAUGCUGCAUAUGUGAUGAGAAUGUCUCGCAAAACGAUCAGAUUUGGAUUUCCUUGACCCCUGAUAAAAAACAGAAGAUAAUGAGAUCAACUAGAAAGUACAGUAGAAAGCUACUAAUGGAGCUUUCUUGGCUAUGUAGGUCAUAGCUGAUGGCUAUUGUAAGUUCUUUUGACUUGUUUG